RNAcentral lists this ribosomal RNA (468 nucleotides) under uncultured bacterium. RNAcentral's name for it is "partial 16S ribosomal RNA". It matches the Rfam family "Bacterial small subunit ribosomal RNA", at positions 28 to 507 of the family's 1533-position model. The record is from RNAcentral.
GACGAACGCUGGCGGCGUGCUUAACACAUGCAAGUCGAACGGAAAGACCCUGCUUUUGUGGGGUGCUCGAGUGGCGAACGGGUGAGUAACACGUGAGUAACCUGCCCUUGACUUUGGGAUAACUUCAGGAAACUGGGGCUAAUACCGGAUAGGAGCUCCUGCUGCAUGGUGGGGGUUGGAAAGUUUCGGCGGGUGGGGAUGGACUCGCGGCUUAUCAGCUUGUUGGUGGGGUAGUGGCUUACCAAGGCUUUGACGGGUAGCCGGCCUGAGAGGGUGACCGGCCACAUUGGGACUGAGAUACGGCACAGACUCCUAAGGGAGGCAGAAGUGGGGAAUAUUGCACAAUGGGCGGAAGGCUGAUGCAGCAACGCCGCGUGCUGGAUGACGGCCUUCGGGUGGUAAACCGCUUUCGCCUGUGACGAAGCGUGAGUGACGGUAAUGGGUAGAGAAGCACCGGCUAACUACGUG